Molecule: ribosomal RNA, 468 nt
Filed under: uncultured bacterium
Lineage: Bacteria
Description: partial 16S ribosomal RNA
Rfam family: Bacterial small subunit ribosomal RNA
Source: RNAcentral
GACGAACGCUGGCGGCGUGCUUAAUACAUGCAAGUCGAACGGAAAGGCCCUGCUUUUGUGGGGUUCUCGAUUGGCGAACGGGUGAGUAACACGUGAGUAACCUGCCCUUGACUUUGGGAUAACUUCAGGAAACUGGGGCUAAUACCGGAUAUGAUCUCCUGCUGCAUGUUGUGGGUUGGAAAGUUUCGGCGGUUGGGGAUGGACUCGCUGCUUAUCAGCUUGUUGGUGUGGUAGUGGCUUACCAAGGCUUUGACGGGUAGCCGGCCUGAGAGGGUGACCGGCGACAUUGGGCCUGAGAUACGGACCAGAAUGCUACGGGAGGCAGCAGUGGGGAAUAUUGCACAAUGGGCGGAAGCCUGAUGCAGCAACGCCGCGUGCGGGAUGACGGCCUUCGGGUUGUAAACAGAUUUCGACUGUGACGAAGAGUGAGUGACGGUACUGGGUAAAGAAGCACCGGCUAACUACGUG